Molecule: ribosomal RNA, 215 nt
Filed under: Vibrio cholerae
Lineage: Bacteria; Pseudomonadati; Pseudomonadota; Gammaproteobacteria; Vibrionales; Vibrionaceae
Description: partial 23S ribosomal RNA
Rfam family: Bacterial large subunit ribosomal RNA
Source: RNAcentral
UACAUGUGUAGGAUAGGUGGGAGGCUAUGAAGACGUGACGCCAGUUGCGUUGGAGCCGUCCUUGAAAUACCACCCUUGUAUGUUUGAUGUUCUAACUUAGCCCCAUUAUCUGGGGUGAGGACAGUGCCUGGUGGGUAGUUUGACUGGGGCGGUCUCCUCCCAAAGAGUAACGGAGGAGCACGAAGGUGGGCUAAUCACGGUUGGACAUCGUGAGG